Molecule: ribosomal RNA, 471 nt
Filed under: uncultured organism
Description: partial 16S ribosomal RNA
Rfam family: Bacterial small subunit ribosomal RNA
Source: RNAcentral
ACUCCUACGGGAGGCAGCAGUGGGGAAUAUUGCACAAUGGGCGCAAGCCUGAUGCAGCCAUGCCGCGUGUAUGAAGAAGGCCUUCGGGUUGUAAAGUACUUUCAGCGGGGAGGAAGGCGAUAAGGUUAAUAACCUUGUCGAUUGACGUUACCCGCAGAAGAAGCACCGGCUAACUCCGUGCCAGCAGCCGCGGUAAUACGGAGGGUGCAAGCGUUAAUCGGAAUUACUGGGCGUAAAGCGCACGCAGGCGGUCUGUCAAGUCGGAUGUGAAAUCCCCGGGCUCAACCUGGGAACUGCAUUCGAAACUGGCAGGCUAGAGUCUUGUAGAGGGGGGUAGAAUUCCAGGUGUAGCGGUGAAAUGCGUAGAGAUCUGGAGGAAUACCGGUGGCGAAGGCGGCCCCCUGGACAAAGACUGACGCUCAGGUGCGAAAGCGUGGGGAGCAAACAGGAUUAGAAACCCUUGUAGUCCCA